This 254-nucleotide ribosomal RNA is filed under the name uncultured bacterium. RNAcentral describes it as "partial 16S ribosomal RNA". It matches the Rfam family "Bacterial small subunit ribosomal RNA", at positions 524 to 776 of the family's 1533-position model. The record is from RNAcentral.
UUCAGAAAGUGCAGGCGUUAUUCGGAUGGAUUGGGCGUAAAGGGUACGUAGGUGGUCUUUAAAACUAAGUAUGAAAGGCUCGGAUUUAACCUGAGACAGAUAUUUAAAGAUUUGAAGACUUGAGUUAUACAGAGGUUAGGAGAAUUUCUAGUGGAGGGGUAGAAUCCUAAAAUAUUAGAAGGAAGACCAACGGCGAAGGCACCUUUCUGGGUAUAACUGACACUGAGGUAACGAAGGUAUGGGGAGCAAACAGG